AGCUCCAAUAGUGUAUAUUAAUGUUGUUGUGGUUAAAAAGCUCGUAGUUGGAUUUCGGCGGGCAUAGGUUGGUUUGAAUUGAUUCAAUACUGACUUUUCUGCCCGUGUGUUUUGCCAGAAUCUGACGGGUGAUCUUAAUCGAUUGUCCGUUCGAACUGGCAGGUUUACUUUGAAAAAAUUAGAGUGCUCAAAGCAAGCUUGAUUGCUUGAAUAUUCGUGCAUGGAAUAAUAGAAUAGGAGGUCGUUUCUAUUUUGUUGGUUUUCGGAAAUCGACUUAAUGAUUAAUAGGGAUAGUCGGGGGCAUUUGUAUUCAAACGACAGAGGUGAAAUUCUUGGACCGUUUGAAGACAAACUUCUGCGAAAGCAUUUGCCAAGAAUGUUUUCA
This 385-nucleotide ribosomal RNA is filed under the name uncultured eukaryote. RNAcentral's name for it is "SSU rRNA". It matches the Rfam family "Eukaryotic small subunit ribosomal RNA", at positions 587 to 972 of the family's 1831-position model. The record is from RNAcentral.